UACGGGGGGGGUAAGCGUUGUUCGGAAUUACUGGGCGUAAAGGGCUCGUAGGCGGCCAACUAAGUCAUACGUGAAAUCCCUCAGCUUAACUGGGGAACUGCGUGUGAUACUGGCUGGCUUGGAUUUGGGAGAGGGAUGCGGAAUUCCUGGUGUAGCGGUGAAAUGCGUAGAUAUCUGGAGGAACACCGGUGGCGAAGGCGGCUACCUGGACCGAUAUUGACGCUGAGGCGCGAAAGCGAGGGGAGCAAACGGG
RNAcentral lists this ribosomal RNA (253 nucleotides) under uncultured bacterium. RNAcentral's name for it is "partial 16S ribosomal RNA". It matches the Rfam family "Bacterial small subunit ribosomal RNA", at positions 524 to 776 of the family's 1533-position model. The record is from RNAcentral.